This 63-nucleotide transfer RNA is filed under the name Sycobia sp. 2 JXW-2020. RNAcentral's name for it is "tRNA-Glu". The record is from RNAcentral. Lineage: Eukaryota; Metazoa; Arthropoda; Insecta; Hymenoptera; Epichrysomallidae.
UUUUAUAUAGUUUAAAGUAAAACCUUAUAUUUUCAAUAUAAAAAUAAAUGAUUUUUAUAAUAU